This 268-nucleotide long non-coding RNA is filed under the name Rattus norvegicus (Norway rat). RNAcentral describes it as "long non-coding RNA NONRATT011798". The record is from RNAcentral. Lineage: Eukaryota; Metazoa; Chordata; Mammalia; Rodentia; Muridae.
GGGAUUGUGGGGCCGAAUGAGAGAGUCCACGAGCUGCUCCCAGUGGGAACUGGACAGGAGGGAAGGACCAGCUCGCAUGAGGAAACGAAUCAGACGGCUGUGUGCAUGGGAGACCCUGAACCUAGGCAGCUGCAAGGUAGGUGCUGGGGAUGGUGGGAAAUAUGCAGGGAAGUGGCCGUGUGUUCUCCACCCCUCCCCUCACCUGACUGAAUGCACCUAGAUAAGUCAGGAGAAACUUCAAGCUUGAUUAUUGAAGUAAUUUGGAAAA